This 468-nucleotide ribosomal RNA is filed under the name uncultured bacterium. Its description in RNAcentral is "partial 16S ribosomal RNA". It matches the Rfam family "Bacterial small subunit ribosomal RNA", at positions 28 to 507 of the family's 1533-position model. The record is from RNAcentral.
GACGAACGCUGGCGGCGUGCUUAACACAUGCAAGUCGAACGGAAAGGCCCUGCUUUUGUGGGGUGCUCGAGUGGCGAACGGGUGAGUAACACGUGAGUAACCUGCCCUUGACUUUGGGAUAACUUCAGGAAACUGGGGCUAAUACCGGAUAGGAGCUCCUGCUGCAUGGUGGGGGUUGGAAAGUUUCGGCGGUUGGGGAUGGACUCGCGGCUUAUCAGCUUGUUGGUGGGGUAGUGGCUUACCAAGGCUUUGACGGGUAGCCGGCCUGAGAGGGUGACCGGCCACAUUGGGACUGAGAUACGGCCCAGACUCCUACGGGAGGCAGCAGAGGGGAAUAUUGCACAAUGGGAGGAAGCCUGAUGCAGCAACGCAGCGUGCGGGAUGACGGCCUUCGGGUUGUAAACAGCUUUCGCCUGUGACGAAGCGUGAGUGACGGUAAUGGGUAAAGAAGCACCGGCUAACUACGUG